Long non-coding RNA from Ailuropoda melanoleuca (giant panda), 10176 nucleotides. RefSeq lists it as uncharacterized. The record is from RefSeq and is a predicted model, not a curated record. Lineage: Eukaryota; Metazoa; Chordata; Mammalia; Carnivora; Ursidae. The transcript is spliced from 8 exons.
UCUGAGAACUAAUUUGCUAUUCGGUGACAUAAGAGGGGGAGUGCGCUUUGCUUUCCCGGGGUCUGGGGCUAAUUCCUCCUCUCUUACCCAUAAACUCAGCUCCUCGAGCUAAAUACACAAAAGGGAGCGAGAGGUUCGACCCGUUGGAAAAAGUCUGUUAUAUAUAGUAGCUUUAGAGGCGAGUAAGAGAAAAAAACAAUAAACACCACAGCUCUUUCCAGCUAGAAUAUUAGGCACCACGAGAAAAAUAUUUGCCAAGCAGUCUUCGGGCUGUUUUCCAGGAUCAACAAGGUGGAUUUCUAUUCAUUUUUCAAGCAAUCGAGUUGAUGGGCGAGUUACCUCAACAAGAUGAUCGGAUAACUUUCUACCAAAGGGCUGACCUGAGUGAUAGGAGGAGCCCUGGGCCAACGCCAUCCUUCUAAGAGAAUCCCUGCAUCUAGCCCUCCCAUCUCUGUAACAAAUGCCGAGUGGAUCCAUGAAUGAUGAGGGAGAACGCUGGAGAGAGCCAGGCCUUCACACCCUGCCCUACAACAGCAAGCAUGAACCUGGCCUUUCAGUACCUCGCAGAGCCUGGGAUCUCCGCCCGCAGUGCUGCCUGCUCCCGUCCAGCCCCGGCGGGUGAACAGGUAGGUCCCCUAUUUCACACACAGUAGCCCAAGAAGCAGGGGUGAAGCUGUGGGAAGUGAGCGAGACCUUCGUGGUUCCUGCCACCUAGAUGCCACCAUCUUCCUUACCAGACAGAGCUUCCUAUUUUGGUGGAAGAGCUGAUUAAAAUUUACCAGUAAUCCACUGCACCUAGCUGCAAGAGAAGCUAGAAGAUGUAGUCUUUCUUUUGACAGCCGUGUUUCCAGCUAACAAUUCUGUACACGGGAAUAAGGAGCUGUAUUUCUGUAGAAGCUACAUAUGGAUAUUUGGAAACCAUUAGAAGUCCCUAUAAACAUGACAUCAUCCGGAAACAGGAAAAGCAAAAUUGGAAAACCUGUUUUUAACUGUGAGAGAACAGAUCUCCCUAUAAGUGUGUGUAGGUGGGGCUUAUCACUGCCAUCUCCAGUCGUGGAGCACCGUGCGAGACGGAAGUUCAGCUCACCUGCGUGGACUCAAGCAUAGACAUCUGGGUGGGGGUUGCAUGAGUCAAACUCUGCCAUGACUGUUGGCGCUGUGUGAAAAUGCAGCACCGGCUUCCACUCCUGCAAGUGUCCAGGCAGGAGCCGAACGAUCCCUUAUAAGGUCUCCAAAGAGGAGAAUCCAUCUGGAACGGAGGUUACCCUGCCCAUCUCCAAGUUCAUCCUUCAGCCUCAAGCACACUUCUCCUGAUCCCUCAGAUUCUUAGGGCUUCCAGUGCUCUCCUUUGCUGCACUCGCCACAGUUGUAAUUAAUGAGCACAGUCACUUGGUUCAUGUCUGUCUUCUCCACUGGAUUGUAGAAGCGGCGACUGUCUUGCCCCCUCACAUUGGGUCUGCUGUGGGGAGCAGAGGGCACGGCCCCAGUGGGCACUCAGGAAAACAGGAGGGGAGUGGGGGACCGAUGCUGCGCUUGUCAGCUUGUAAACUGCUCAUGACAAUUAUUCUUUAAAAACAAGGUAUUGAGAUAUAAAACAGAACAGAAAGCACGUGAAGGAAGUGGUACGGAAUACUACCAGACAUCGAGGGGAACUGAACUUGAUUCCAAGCUUCCUGGAAACGAAGUAUAAAAAGACAACACCCUGGGUUACCGAAUUUGCUUUUUCUAAUGGGACGAAACAUGCGAAGCCCUCUGCAGAAGCCAAGUUUUCCCAGUGAUUGAUUACAAGGAGACUAUUGUUUGUUCCCAGUUAAUGUGUAAGCAUGAUCGAACCCCUCCGAACUCCAAACAAGACAGGGAAAGAAAAGCAAGCUCCCUCCACCCCUCUCCGCAGCUGUCCCACCCGCCCCAGUUCCUCCCCACUGGGGCUGCGCCGCUUGGCCUCUUCAUUUCCCGUUCACGGACGGCUUACCACCCCUUGCUCCAGCUCUCUCCAAUCCACCCCAGCUGCCAUCAUGUCACCAAAGGCAACAGCAAAAUUGUCCAGGCUCUGUCUAAGCUCCCAUCUUUAUUGCAGUCGACAUGUCUUAGUUAUUUGAAGCUCUGGUCCUCGCUAGAUCAUGUCCCUUGGUUCUGCGACACCACACUGCUCUGAUUUUCUUCCUGUCGUCCUUAAUGUUCUUCCUCAGUUCCUGUGAAGGACUGCUUGGGCUCUGUUCCUCUAUUAAUGUUGGCAUUCCUAAGGUUUUAAAAGUUUUUUUUCUUUGACUCUUUCAUUUCUCACUCCACAUACUUUCCCAGGAAAAUUUCAUCUGCUCUAAUGGCUUUAACUGCUGUCUAGAUUUUAAUGACUCCCAAUUUCAGAUCAUCAGGCUGGAUGACCCACCCGAGCUUCAAACCCACGGAUUUAACUUCCUUGUGGAUACCGUGCAUGCUCCUCAAACCCUCUUGCUCCAAAUCGAGCCAAUAUUUUCCCUUCUUUGUAAUCUGUUACUCUUCAUGGGUUCCCUAUCUCAGUGAAGGGCCCUGCCUUCUACCCCGCUUCUCACGAUAGAAAUCGUGUCAUCAUCUUUAACUCCUCCCUCUCUCUGAGUCCUCAUCCCCUCACAUUCAACCACCCAGUCCUGUCAGCAUGACUCCACUGAUCGCUAUCAUCCGUGUCACCAUCAUCGUGCAGGCCCCGGGGUUUUGCCACAAAUCUUACUUAACCAGCUGUGCCCUAGACCUGCCCUCCAGAGUGGGCUUUCUGAAGCAACACUUGGAACUUGUACCUGCCCUACCUCAAACUUCUCAGUGGCUCUCCAUGACCUUCAGGAUAAAGUCCUAACUCCAUAAUGAGGCUUAAACAGCCCUGCCUGGUCUGGCUUCUUCUUACCUUCCAGCCUUACCUCCUCCUUAUUUCCAAACCCCACUCCGACAGUCCACAGUCCCACCAGCCGCACCACAUCUGCUCUCCCAUGGCACUUGGCGCUCUCUUGCCUCAGGGCCAUUGCAUGUGCUGCCCUGUUCUCUUCCCAGCUCUCUACACAUGUCCUGGAUUGCUCCAAUCCCUCUUCCACUCUCACCUUUUAAGUGACUUUAUUCUUUCAUGCAUUCAGGAAAUAGUUCCUGAGCAACCCAGUGUGUGCCAGGCACAACACAGGUACUUAUAAAUACAACAGUAGGCAAGGGACAUGUGGCCUCUGUCCCUACGGUCCUAGUCCAAGAGGCUUUCCUUGAUUUCCCAAGGCUGUGUGGGUCUCCCGUGGAACCCUGUCCUCAGCCCACAUGACACUGUCUCCAGUGUAUUUUAAUAACUUUUAACCUAGGGUAUAAACUAGAUCAACAAACUUUCUGUAGAGGGACAGAUGACAAACAACAAAUAUAUUUGGCUUCUCAGGAUAUACAGUCUCUGUCCCAACUACACAGCUACUCAAGUGGUAGAGGGAAAGCAGCCACAGAUAAUACAUAAAUGAGGAGACACUGCUGUGACCCAUGACUCUAUUCACAAAAGCAGAUGGUGAGCCAGCUUGGCCCAUUGGGCAGAGUUUAUUGACCCCUGGUCUAAAGAGCUAAACUACGAUGUUCUUAUUCAGCUUUGUAUCCACAGUGCAAACGUGGUGCUCAACAUAAAGGCUUCCCUAUGAAAGUGUGUUGAAUGAAUAAGUGAAUGGUAAGUGAGCAAAUUAGGACAGACCUGUUUACUCUUUUUCCUGCGGCCAUAUCUCCUUGGUCACAAUAUGCUCCAUAGUCACUCUGUGUAGUCACGGAACCCUCAGUGGGGUAGUUUUUCAUCUGUUUUGCUUAGCAAAACUCUGGUGUUGAGCAAAUACCGUGCCAGAAGUUUUGGUUCCUUUGGCGGUAGUGGUCAAUUUUUGAGUCCUUUGUCACUCACUACCCCCCCGACCAUUGUUUACAACACAGGUUUUUUUUUGUUUUUUUCCCCUAGAAAUCAUAGUUAAAUGCUGGAAUAUCCAGAUAUACUUCAUCUAAUUCAUUGCAGACUUAGUCAUUUUAUCCGUGUGUAUAUAGAUACAUUCCUCUGUUCCACAACUAUUAAUUUAAACCCACUUUAAGACUUCUCUGGAGCAGGUUGAAUAUUAGAAAAAAUUCAAUUAAAUCUAUGCAUAGAGAAUCUAUUAUGCAUGGGGCGGUAGCAGAAACUUCAGCAUGCAGUGGGGACAAAGAUAACUCAGAUAAGCUACUGUCACUAAGGGGCUUAUAGUGCAGAGAGGAAAUAGGAAAUAUGUAGGUGAAUAAGUAAUUCUGAUUCAAUGUAGAAAGUGCUAAGUUUCUUGAGGAAGGGAUCAGCAAAGUGCUCUGGGACUUUCAUAGGGAGUAAAAUUUAUUUUCAGCCAGAGAUCAAAGAAGGCUUGGAGGGAGAAAUGUGUAAUCUGGACGUGGAAAGGUAGGUAUUUGGAUACUGAGAGGGCAGUAAAGGGCCUUCGAGACAGAGGAAAGUAUAGGCAUACCCGCAAGUUACUAGAAAGCAAGUUUUAAUGAAGCUAUGUCCAGGGACUGGCUGAUAAAAGUGCAGCCAAACCCCUUCAAGAAGGCGCCAAGUCCAUUCUGGUCCGGAAUGCAUUGAUAAUUGGGACAUUAUGCUCAGACACUGCAAAUUGACAUUCUGUCGUCAUCUCCCUUGGAAUAGAAACCCUGAUCCUUUAAAGUAAUUAGCACCAAUUUGGAGCAUUGGGUGCAAAAAUAAAUCACAAGUGUCCAAAAACAGAUACACUAAGUUCAAUGGUUAGGAAGCAAACGUUCUUAUUAGCUCCGCCUAUGUAAACAAAAUCAGAAGCAAUUAGCAUUUAAAAAUAGAAGAGAAAAGAAGAGUUCACAGUUCCCACUGGAAAAUUAUUAUUUAUAUAAAUGUCCACAAUGAUGACUUCCACUCACCCUUUCUGAUUUCAGUCAUGUUAUUUCAAUGGCUAAAGGAUCAGUGUUCUUUUCUAGAAGUGAGGAGAGAGAGCGGUGAUUCUAUGCAUGUUUCCCUGGUUGGAACCGAGAGAUGUGUGUCUGCUGACAAACAGACAGGAAUUCCGUCGUUCCUUUGAAAAAGGCUGUACUGGUUGAUACUCCAAUGGACAGUGGAAAGUGCUUCCUCCACGCUCAGCCUCCUGCCCGGGAACUGCCUCAUCACUUGAUGGAUGAAAAGAUGCCACAGAGGGAAUUGGCAGCUGUCUAAUCAUACCCACGUAGGUAUUGGCCACGCUACGUGCACCAAGCUUUCAGAUCUGCGGUCACUACGCGAGAUAAUGCAUGUAAAGUACUAAGGAUAGUGCUCGGCACAGUGUAAGUGCUCACUAAAUAGUGGUUGUUGCUCUUAUUAAAGCAUGCUGCCAUGGUAGGGACCUACCAGAAGCUUCCAUAGCUGGUUCUGUGUGGAAGAUGAACUGGAAAGGAGAGAGAAGAGAGGUCGGGAGGCUCCAGCAGCUCCUUCCAGACUGAGUGAAAUGCCCCUUCUUCUGUGCUCCUAGCACCACCCUCACCUCUUCCCGUUCAGUGUAAUUAGUUGAUUCCUCGUCCAACAUAAUACUGUCCCUGGAGGACAAGAGGUAUGUUCUCUGCCAUCAGAGAGUGAUGACCUAUGGGCUGGGAUGCUGUAGUCUCCCUCAUAUACCCAGAGGGAAUUUGAAGCCAUAAACUUCUGAGUUUGAGACUCUCUCACUCUAUUAGUGUUUUAAUGCCUGAAAGUUACCAAGGAGAGAGAGACAGUCAUGACACCAUAAAUUAUCAUGUGAGUUUCCUCUCCUUAAUGAGGACGCAGCCUCUUUAAUGGAGGAAUCAUAUCUCAAGCUUCUUUUAUCAUGUUUUCCACCAUGACAACUAGUGUGCUGAGGAAGGCACGCAGGAGGCCCUGGAUACAUACAAAGUGGGGAAAAGUAACAGAACCGGUGUUUGGUGCGAUUUAAGGAAACCCGUCCCUUUGCUUUAGAGUCAUGUGUGCUUUGUGUUGACUGAUGAAAUCACCAUGUGGCUAUUUAGCUAAAAGGCCAGUUCGCCUUUGCAGAGCGUUGACCACACUGUCAGGACUGCCCUGAGAACGGUGCUGCCCUCUGCGUCACCCUCACCAGGCCGUGCCCCACACGCUUCAGCGGCAAGCUGUGCCUCCGGGUGGGCCAGAAAGGAAUGUCUGGGGAAAUGGGAUUGUAGAAGGUAACAGCCACUGGGAGAAUUUGGCCCCAAUGCUGAGGACUCUUCAAUCAAUAUGCAUGACUUUCAGAAUUCCUAUUUUAAUCAGCGAAACGGAAAUGAAAUUCCAAUGUAGCUUUUAGUUUAAAAAAAAAUUACAAGUGGUAUAUGAUAUUCAUGCAUACCAUUUCCUCUGAAAUUCUUUUUAAGAAUUGAAGAAAAUAACCAUAUAACAUACUGGAAAGAACACUAGCCUAGGCGUCCAGAGAUUUAAUUUCAUGCCCUAAAUUUAUCACCUAGUAGCUAUGUGAUCAAAAGCAGUCACUUCCCCCCAUCUUACCUCAUUUCACUUAUAUAUAGAAUGAGAGGUUUGAUGCUAUGUAAGCUCCCCUUCAACCCCUGGUAAUAAGUGAGUCCAUAAUUCCCUAAUUCGUGUUGAAGACCCAUCCAUCCAUCCAUCCAUCCAUCCUUUUCGCAAAUAUUUAUUGAAUUUCUUCUUGUCCUACGUCCAUGCAAUUCGAGGCUUCUCCUUGAGUUGGUAGAUUGAUGGCAUCAUCCUCCUUCCAAGCACCAGAUUCAACAUCUUGUGUAAAUUCCGACCCUCUUACUCUCUCACCCACCUCACCUUCAACCAGUCUGCAGUGUUUAUUCUUUCUCUGUGUUUCUCUGGUCCAUCCCAUUCUUUCCACGCCUACUCCACUGCUCUCCUUCCAGUCUCCCCAGCUCACACUUGAGCCGCUACAAAACUUCCGAAGUGAACUCCCAGCCUCAAUAAUUUUCCUUCCCGAUCCACUCUACAUGCCAUGCCUAGAGUUACCCCUAGUCUUUCAUUUUAAUCAACAUCUUUUGAAGGCUUGUUGAAUGUAGACGCUGUGCCUGGGCCCUUAAGGAGCUCACAAUCCAGAGAGGAAGGCAGACAAAAUCAGAGGAUAAGGACAAUGUGAUGCUGGGCUGCCAUGAUGGAGAAGGGCUCAGAGGGUUGGAUUUCUUCCUUUCUCUGGUUGGCAUCUGAUGUCGCCCUUGAAGACUGAGUAGAAAUUUGACAAAGUAAAAAAGUACCCAUCUGAGAAAGUUACAGAAGGCAUCUCGGAUUCACAACACCCCCCGCCAACCCCCCACUGAAUAACACGUCGUCUGGCAACAGGAGGCGUUUGAUUACAUUUGGAUGGAACGCCUGCAUCAACUCCAGUUGUCCCCGAAUUGGAACUGAUGGGCCUCACGUGCCGCAGCCAACAGUUUGCCUUCACCCACUCCCCUCUCUGAAAUGAACCUUUCUCUGGGAAAACAAGAAACCUACGUGCCAUCCUGGGUGAGAGACGAGCAAGAGCUGUGUCCCAGCGUCACAUCCCAAGCAUGGCAGGCAAGAGCACACUGAGGGGUUUCCAACAGGGAGCUGUGCUUCCGGCAUCUCUGGAGAGACCCUCCGAACCAGAGGAUGCAAAUAUUCUCCCCGGGGCGCUGCAGUCUCCGUGUUUAAUUCAUUGAGUCCUCACUGUGUGCAGUGUAAGGCAGCAGGCUACUAUCCCCUUGAGCAAGCCUCCAUCAUCUGCCUCCUCACGCUCUGUCUUGGCUCAGUCACUGCAGCAGGCCGAGUAAUGGCUCCCCCAAGAUAGCCACAUACUAAUACCCAGGACCUGUGAAUGUGUUAUAUUACACAGCAGGGGGGGGGAUUACAGUUGCAGAUGGAAUGAAGCUGGCUGAUCAGCAGACUUAAAACAUAGAGACUCUCCAGGACGAUCCAUGUGGCCACAAUGGAAUCACCAAGGUCCCCACAUAGGCAAGAGGGAGGCCGAAGCAUCAGGACCAGUGUGGUGGCAUCAAGAGAAAGACUCGACCUGCCAUUAUUGCUGGUUAUGAAGAGGCGGUCCAGGGCUAUGAACCAAGGAACACGGGCCAGAAGUCUGAAAAAGGCAAGAAAAUGGAUGCUUCCCUAGAGCUUCCUUGACGUUAGCCCAGUGAGGCCGCUUCAGACUUCUGACCUCUAGAAUGAUAACAUCUGUGUUAGUUCACAGCAGUAGGAACGGAGACAGUCCCUGUGGACUUGCCAUGUGCCAGGCCUGGUGCCGGAUGCCAAGGGAACAUUCCCACAGCAUGUGAUUUGUACGGCGUAUCAGUCAUCGGGGUCCCACCAGGGAGACAAGCCCUGAGUCUAAACACAGGGAACCGAAUGCAGGUCACCGGCUAGAGAGGUGAUCGAAGAAGUUGAAAAGUCUGGUCCACAAGUGGCCCUUAAUAGUUACGAAGUGACUGAAUGUGAGACACGAAAUAAUUAUGCAUUCAGUGAUGCAGUGUCUUUUUCUUACCCUGCCUCCUGCCCCAGCAAGCUGUCGGAGGAAAGGGAGGUAUUACGUUCAUCUACGUGCUUUUGAGGACUUUCCUUCGACCUAGACCUUAGUAGCUGAUCAAGGGGUGUGUGUUGCUCUGAGUUUCUAGGCGACGUGAGGAGCCAAGAGGGGCACAGCCUGAUCUAGAAGUGCAACUUCUAGUAGUUCAACAUCGCCAUAGGUCCCAACAUUUGUGCGGCUCUUUUGAGUUUACCAAGGGCUCUCCACUUGGUCCUUACACUGACUCUAAAAAGAAAAAUGACUCUUACGAUUCCCACUUUCCAGAAGAUGAAUCUGAGCUCACAGGGGUUAAUUAUCUUGCUCCAGAUCUUACUUUUUCAAGCAAGGAAGCUGAAAUUAAUUCAUUGUUCCAAAAAUAUUUAUGGAAUGCCGGCAACGUGCUAGCCCCUGGCUCAAUCUUCUGCCCUUAGUAGGGGCUGGGGAAACACAGGAACUGGCAGUUCCAAAGAAAUUGGCAUGAGCUCCCAGAGGAUAAAAGGGGGGCCCCCAGUUCCAGCUGCGGACCCGAGGAGCAAGACGAUUACCUGUGUUCUCCAGCUGGGGUUUGGCAGGGACUGCUGUGCUGCUGGUUGUGCCUUAGAGCAAGGUUCUGGGUGGUCGGCCGGACGUGCCUGGAGGCAACAUCACAGCAAACCCUCAGCAGCUCUCCCACUAACAGCCCUGGCGUUCUGAGUCUACCCUUUUCCAUAUAUUCUUUCCUCCUUCCUGUGCCAAGAUUUCAGGAGACGAUUUACAGUGGGUUCCAGGCCAUUUAGCUCAGUCAAAAAUUUGGGUGAAAGUUUCCUCCCAGCCAUCCCAGGCCACAGAUAACCCAUCAGGGUGUGACAGCCAGGGCGAAGGAGGGGGAAGAAACACCAGGGAGAUUUUGAGUUGCAGGAUUGGACCAGAAGUUUCUGCAGCUGCUGCAUGUGACCGCUGUCCUCUGGCUGUACAAAAUGUGUCCGCAAUGGGUUGGUUGAGAAACUUAGGACAAGAUACCAAAGAGACACAUCUUGUCUCACUAGAGAUGGCAGAGGCCCCCGGAAGGUGGCCUGCUGGCCGGGCUCUCGGCCAACGCGCAGAGGGCCAGCGCGGGGGUAGGAAGGGGCAGGUGGACAAACAGGACGAGAAGGCUAGGUGGCCAGAUCUUCACAGGGGCUGGGCCUUGCCCAGCCUGCCGGCACUCCUCCGGUGCUUGAGCGCCUCUCUCUGUAAGUAAAUCCCGGCAGCUCUUACAGUGCAGGAUGUCCCACAUACCGUCCAUCCGAGGUGGGGUAAAAUACAAAUAUGCCUUUUCAUAAUAGCUUUACACCUGGAGCGCCAGAGGACCGGUUUAUUACCUUGGUAAACAAAAGUUCGAAUUCUAGCAGAGUACAAACUUUGCCCAAGGCACUUCUGACGGUGCACCUUGUGUUUGUGAAGUGAACUCGAUAUAUAUACAAUGUGAAGCAAUGGAAGGCUGGGCUUUUUCUUUCUUUUUCUUUUUUUUUCUCUCUCUCUUGUCUGAUUUCCAAGGUUUAAAAGUUCAUGGGCGUGUGGGGUGAGUGGGGGAGGAGGUGCAGAGAGAGAAUUUACUUUGGCUCUGGCUUUUUUGAGCAUUUUGAAAUCAUGCUGUUUGGUGUGAAAAAAAUAUGUGAGCCAAUUUGUAUUGUUUUCCAGCGAGAGAGUGUGCUUCUUUCUGCUCUCAUGGUGACAAUUAGGGUUUGUGGGUGGGAGACAGGGUAAACCAGUUUGGGGAACA